GAUGAACGCUGGCGGCGUGCUUAACACAUGCAAGUCGAACGGUGAAGCAGGAGCUUGCUCUUGUGGAUCAGUGGCGAACGGGUGAGUAACACGUGAGCAACCUGCCCCUGACUCUGGGAUAAGCGCCGGAGACGGCGUCUAAUACUGGAUAUGUGAUGUGACCGCGUGGUCUGCAUCUGGAAAGAAUUCCGGUUGGGGAUGGGCUCGCGGCCUAUCAGCUUGUUGGUGAGGUAAUGGCGCACCAAGGCGUCGACGGGUAGCCGGCCUGAGAGGGUGACCGGCCACACUGGGACUGAGACACGGACCACACUCCUACGGGAGGCAGCAGUGGGGAAUAUUGCACAAUGGGCGCAAGCCUGAUGCAGCAACGCCGCGUGAGGGAUGACGGCCUUCGGGUUGUAAGCCUCUUUUAGUAGGGAAGAAGCGAAAGUGACGGUACCUGCAGAAAAAGCACCGGCUAACUACGUGCCAGCCGCCGCGGUAA
This 484-nucleotide ribosomal RNA is filed under the name uncultured bacterium. RNAcentral describes it as "partial 16S ribosomal RNA". It matches the Rfam family "Bacterial small subunit ribosomal RNA", at positions 28 to 523 of the family's 1533-position model. The record is from RNAcentral.